This 2634-nucleotide long non-coding RNA is filed under the name Xyrichtys novacula (pearly razorfish). Lineage: Eukaryota; Metazoa; Chordata; Actinopteri; Labriformes; Labridae. The record is from RNAcentral.
UGUAACUGUGAUCUAAAGUGGCCUUCGACACAUGUAGGUGGCUUGUUAAGAUUUCCAGGACACUGGCGGAUUUACCCAGUAAUCCUCCCAUCAGCUGGUCAAAGCAAGUGGUCGACUAUUUUUGCUCUAAUGAUUCUUCAUGGUACUAUUUCUGUGGUGGUUUUUAUUUUUGUUUUGGUGGAUCGUUCCCGCAGGAACACAGGUUUUACUUAAGCCAGAAGUCCUCUUGAAGACACCAGUGAGACUGACCAGAUAGAAAUGACCAACACUCUGAACACUUGAACUCGUGUUAUAUCAGUUUGAUGAUUUAGUUUACAUUCUCCCAUGAUUCAAUGCUGCUUUUCCAUCCCUGCUGAUUUACAAAGAUGAUAUGAAGGACCGAUUCCGACUACACGACCAGUGAAUAAAAUGUAACCCUGGUUUUCACUGGUUACUUAUAUUUUUAUCAUUCAUUGAUUUAUUUUACAAAGUGCCUUCCGGUUGCUCUUUUUAGUUGAUAGAUCUAAACAAAGCGCCAUCUUGUUGCCUAUUUAGUGUAAUAUAUAGACAAACGGCCUUCUGACUGCAAGUUUAGUGGAAAAAUGUAAACCAAGUUCCUGUCCUCUAGUUAACAAAUGCAAACUAAGUGCCCUUUGGAUGCAAAUUUAGUAAUUAGAAUGUACAUGAAGAACCCUCUGGGUCCCUUCCAGUUUAUAAAAUGUAAACAAAGUGCCUAUGUGUGCUUAUUUAUUGAAUAUAACAUAAUUAAGUGCCCUUUACUUGCUUUUAAUAAGUUACUAAAAUGUAAACGAGUGUCCUCUGGUUGCUCCUUCUGUACGUAAAAUGUUAAAAACCUUAUGGGUGACUUAUCAGUCUGUAAACAGAGUGCCCUUUAUUUUUUCAUCAAGUAAUUGUAAUGUAAACAAAGCACCCUUAGGGAGCUUAUUUCAUUAAUAAACAAAAUGUAAAGACAGUUAAUUCCCUUUGCUAAUCAAGUGACUUAAAUUUAGACCAAGUUCCCCUUUAGUGGUCCUAUUGUGAACAAAGUGCCAUUUAAGGGGUUCAUAGAGGGUACAAAAUGUAAACAAAGUACCCCUUUGGCAACCUUAGAGUGUAUUAAAAGUAACCCAAUUGCCACUCACACUGAGAGGACUCUUAUUCAGAUUUUCCAGCAAAACGGUUGUAAAUGCUCACUGUGUUUGAAUGCAUGUUUUAUUUUGUUUGUAACCCAUCUACUUUCUGAGUCUCAGUUAGUCCUUCCUGAGCUGGACCAAAGGUGAGAUAAGCUCCAUGCCAAAGGGACCAGUUCAAUAUGGGAGCCAGGCAGUUUGAUUUUAAGCGGGCCACUCAUUAACAGAUGAUGUUUUAUGCUCUCCUGCAAAGAGCCAGACUCCUUUGAUUAAACGGGUUAAGAGCUGAAUUUUGGUGGGCAUAUGGUGAAUCAUGCACUGAAUGGACAGGGCACACAGCGUCCUCCAGGCCUGACUGUUAUUUCCGGUGCACCAGUGCUCGUACAGCAACAGCUGCUGCUCUCCUGGCCAGCAUCUAGAGUCAUCCAGGGUUUAGGAAGGGAGGACGGAAGGAGGGAGGAGCAGGAGGAUGUGUUCAGUCUCUUAUUGUAUGUCUAGGUUGAGGUGGGGGUGGGAGGUCCUUCAGCCUUUGUCACGAAAGCCUCUUGGAUGCUCUCCAUCCACCCCUCAGGCCCAGUGAUUCACACAGGUGCUAAUUUGGGAGAGCUAACACAUACUGUGUUUUAUUUUUCAUGACACUGGAUCCUCAAUGAGUGACUAAGUCCAUGCAGGAAUCAGCUUAGGUUUAUGAACAAGUCCUCAACAGCUCUGGGUUGAGAUUAUUGCAGACAGGAUGUACCAAGGACGUUUCAGGGGUGGGGCAACAAAAGAGGGCACUAAGAGUGGCAACGAGAGGGCACUUUGUUUACAUCUAUCAACUAAAAAGAUUUUGAAAAAAAAAUCCUGAUUUAAAAAAGUAAAAGAGGCUGCGUGUACUAGAGAAGCAAUGAAAUUUAGAUAGUAUAUUCACCGUUUCAUGAUACUUAAGCACUCAGUACUUAGACAACAAUACUCAUUUAUAAAUUCACUUGAACAGCGUUCAAUUAAAUCUAUAGCACAGAUCUGAAGUGUAGAAAUCAAAGUUUUUGUGUAUUUUUUUGUGUCGUUCACAUCCGGUCCACUUUCAAUUUGUGACUUAAAGUGAGAAAAAAUCUCUUCCUGUCUCUAAAGUCUGUUUUUUUUUCAUUCAUUGUAAAAUCAAACUCUUGUUAUGCAGCUUCACAGUAGAAAGCCUCCAUUACCAUACAGUGCAGAACAGUGAUUUCACAUUGAUCCCCCGGUGAUGGUGUUUUUUUCAAUUCACCUGCAGCUCUGGAGAAUCCACUCAAAGUGAUUUGAAGUUUAUUUUGGAGGACAAUCACUCAUUGUCUUUAUUUUUCAGCAGUUACCCCCCUCACUGAGCGAAGCUUCGGCUCCACACAGAUAACUUCAAUCAGCCAAAUGUUGGACCGGGAGCAGACAGCAGCCGUCUAAUGAGAAGCUCUGCUGGGUCCAGAUUGCUUACGCUCUGUGUCAUGGAAAAAGUAGAGAGCAGAAUUAAAACGCUCUGCUGUGCCAUGUGGACGUAUAAUAUCUGUUUCCUGUG